CAGUCGCCGCGGUAAGACGAACCGUCCGAACGUUAUUCGGAAUCACUGGGCUUAAAGCGCGUGUAGGCGGGCCGGCACGUCCGAUGCUGAAAUCCCCCGGCUUAACCGGGGAAGUGGCACGGAUACGACCGGCCUGGAGGGAGGUAGGAGGGCCUGGAACUUCCGGUGGAGCGGUGAAAUGCGUUGAGAUCGGAAGGAACGCCCGUGGCGAAAGCGAGGCCCUGGACCUUUUCUGACGCUGAGACGCGAAAGCCAGGGGAGCGAACAGGAUUAGAUACCCGUGUAGUCCCUGUCUCUUAUA
Molecule: ribosomal RNA, 301 nt
Filed under: uncultured bacterium
Lineage: Bacteria
Description: partial 16S ribosomal RNA
Rfam family: Bacterial small subunit ribosomal RNA
Source: RNAcentral